Ailuropoda melanoleuca (giant panda) is the source of this 1679-nucleotide long non-coding RNA. The record is from Ensembl. Lineage: Eukaryota; Metazoa; Chordata; Mammalia; Carnivora; Ursidae.
GUCUGGCCAGGCCGUGGUGAGCCCCGGGUCAGGGAUUCUUCGAGCCAGGCGCUCGAAGAAUCAUGGUGCCCUGGGGCUGGGCUUCUCCAGGGCCCUGCUGACAUGUGGGGCUGGGUCACUGCUCGUCCUGGGGGCCGGGCUGGGCCCUGGAGGGUCAGCAGCAGCAUUCCUGGUCUCUACCCACUCGAUGCCAGGGGCUUUUCUCCCGCCCAGUGUGACAACUACAGAUGUCUCCAGACAUUUCAGAUGUCCCGGGGGUAAAACCGCCCCCGGUGGAGAACCACUCUUCUUGGGCUUACGGGAGGCCCCUGCCUGCGCUCUCCAGGAAGAGCCGGGAGGCUGAUCUUAUCACCCAAGUCCUCAGAAGGGAGUGCAGAGGCCCAGAGAGGUGGUGUGUUUGGCUUCAGGCACAGCCAAGAGGCAGAUCUGGCUUUCCCUCUGGUUCUCCUGACCGUCCAAACCAGGGCUCAUUCCGUGAAUUCAGCACACACUUGCAUACACGCACGCACACAUGGAACUCGAGGGAUACGACGUAGGAGAGGCGGUUUUUACAAAAUGCAUAGAUGGCCCCGGCUAUCCUCAGUUGGUGGAGGGGGUAGUACAGGGCUGCCCUGUCCGACUCUGGCCACCCCUGGAACAGGCCAGCUUUCUCCCCAAUACGGAUCUCUGUACUCAGAGGUGCUGAAUAAAUGAUGUUGACUCAUGCGGGCAGCUGGGUGGGGAAGACCGCGUGGAAGGAGUGAGCCGCUCAUGAGUCAGGGCCAUUGUGAGCUCAGCGGCCCCGUCCUGCUCCCGCGCUGGCUCUGCACCCCUGCGAGUGUCCAGCAGGCAUCCCGGCUGGGGAAAACCCGAUACCAAACAGCAGGAAAGGCAUGGCUCUCCCGGAACACACGGACGCACCCCGUCGCCCGCAGGCUCGCACGGCUCUUCGUUGUUCCAGGGAAGAUGGUCUCCUUCUUGGCCCCUCACGCCUGCAGCUCCGAGUUAGAGAAGGCCGCCUCUGCCCCCGAGCUGGUCGGAGGCACAUUCCUGAAGGUUUUGACUGAGUCGUCUUUACUUAGGGAGCCUAACGGGCUGGUCAUGCGGGCUUCACGUGGGGGACAUGCGAGCUCUCUAUUUGACCCACAAGAAAUCCAUCUGUGCACCCGAGGGUGCCCUCCCAGGGUCCCCUGUGUCAGCCUCUCCAUGGUGCCCACAGCAUGACGGGCUGCCGGCUAAGCCGUGUGCAUGGGGGUGGGGGUGUCCGACCCAGCCGCCUCCCCUCGGGACUCCUGGACAUGGGCCCACGCUCAAGGAGGUGGGCAUCCUGGGGAGGGGGGUGUCUCAGGCUCGUGCCUGCAGCUCUUGUUCCAGACUUUCUGGAAAGCCACAUUGGCUGGUUGGGGGAUUCAUUCAUUUGUUUACCCAUGAUUUGAUCAUGCCUUCAUUCAUUCAUUUGCCUUCAUUCAUUCACUCAUGCACUUGAGAGACAGUGAGAGAGAGAGCACAAGCAGGGGUGAUGGGCAGAGUGGAGGGAGAAGCAUGUGUUCACAUAUUCACUCCCUGCCCCACCUCCUAUUACCUCUACCCUGCUCAUACCUUUUCCAGCUUUGUUUCCCUCCCCAGACGUUAUCGCCCCCACCGACUGCACAAUUCACCCCGUUGGCGAGGAUGCCAGCUCCAGGCUAACUUGUCAUGAG